This 120-nucleotide small nucleolar RNA is filed under the name Castor canadensis (American beaver). RNAcentral describes it as "Small nucleolar RNA SNORA51 (ENSCCNG00000025141.1)". It matches the Rfam family "Small nucleolar RNA SNORA51". Rfam says of the family: ACA51 is a member of the H/ACA class of snoRNA that guide the sites of modification of uridines to pseudouridines. The record is from Rfam by way of RNAcentral. Lineage: Eukaryota; Metazoa; Chordata; Mammalia; Rodentia; Castoridae.
AGCCUCCUGGUGCUUACACAAGCUGUGUUCUUACUUUCUACUGACUAUAUAGAAAGAGAGGGCAUAUACAUUUCAGCCUAGGCCCUGUGCCUGGUCUGUAUUGUGAAAAGGGAGACACUG